CUGAUCGCUACCUCUUCUACGGUAAGCAGAUCAUCUCGAUUCAUCGACCCCAAUUGUCUUGUUGCACCUCAUUGACGGCUACAGCGUCCGGUUGUAUGUUGCUGCGACUUGUUGUACUCCGUUGAGUCAAUAAGCCAUAACCUCGCCGACGACACCGCAAUCCUUGCGGGGGACCACCAAGUCCCAUUGCUCAGGGAGGAGCUACAUGUGAGCGGCCGCAGAACCACCUAACCGCCUCUUCGCGCAUUUGUCCUAAGACCCCGCUGAUCCAACACCGCAAGGAUUGCGGACGGACGAUGAUUAUCGUCCGCUAGCGAAAGGAUUUCGCUUAGAUCAUGGUGG
This 342-nucleotide unclassified non-coding RNA is filed under the name uncultured fungus. Its description in RNAcentral is "sequence contains ITS1". Lineage: Eukaryota; Fungi. The record is from RNAcentral.